UUAAGCGACUAAGCGUACACGGUGGAUGCCCUGGCAGUCAGAGGCGAUGAAGGACGUGCUAAUCUGCGAUAAGCGUCGGUAAGGUGAUAUGAACCGUUAUAACCGGCGAUUUCCGAAUGGGGAAACCCAGUGUGAUUCGUCACACUAUCAUUAACUGAAUCCAUAGGUUAAUGAGGCGAACCGGGGGAACUGAAACAUCUAAGUACCCCGAGGAAAAGAAAUCAACCGAGAUUCCCCCAGUAGCGGCGAGCGAACGGGGAGGAGCCCAGAGCCUGAAUCAGUGUGUGUGUUAGUGGAAGCGUCUGGAAAGGCGCGCGAUACAGGGUGACAGCCCCGUACACAAAAAUGCACAUACUGUGAGCUCGAUGAGUAGGGCGGGACACGUGGUAUCCUGUCUGAAUAUGGGGGGACCAUCCUCCAAGGCUAAAUACUCCUGACUGACCGAUAGUGAACCAGUACCGUGAGGGAAAGGCGAAAAGAACCCCGGCGAGGGGAGUGAAAAAGAACCUGAAACCGUGUACGUACAAGCAGUGGGAGCCUCUUUAUGGGGUGACUGCGUACCUUUUGUAUAAUGGGUCAGCGACUUAUAUUCUGUAGCAAGGUUAACCGAAUAGGGGAGCCGAAGGGAAACCGAGUCUUAACUGGGCGUUAAGUUGCAGGGUAUAGACCCGAAACCCGGUGAUCUAGCCAUGGGCAGGUUGAAGGUUGGGUAACACUAACUGGAGGACCGAACCGACUAAUGUUGAAAAAUUAGCGGAUGACUUGUGGCUGGGGGUGAAAGGCCAAUCAAACCGGGAGAUAGCUGGUUCUCCCCGAAAGCUAUUUAGGUAGCGCCUCGUGAAUUCAUCUCCGGGGGUAGAGCACUGUUUCGGCAAGGGGGUCAUCCCGACUUACCAACCCGAUGCAAACUGCGAAUACCGGAGAAUGUUAUCACGGGAGACACACGGCGGGUGCUAACGUCCGUCGUGAAGAGGGAAACAACCCAGACCGCCAGCUAAGGUCCCAAAGUCAUGGUUAAGUGGGAAACGAUGUGGGAAGGCCCAGACAGCCAGGAUGUUGGCUUAGAAGCAGCCAUCAUUUAAAGAAAGCGUAAUAGCUCACUGGUCGAGUCGGCCUGCGCGGAAGAUGUAACGGGGCUAAACCAUGCACCGAAGCUGCGGCAGCGACGCUUAUGCGUUGUUGGGUAGGGGAGCGUUCUGUAAGCCUGCGAAGGUGUACUGUGAGGUAUGCUGGAGGUAUCAGAAGUGCGAAUGCUGACAUAAGUAACGAUAAAGCGGGUGAAAAGCCCGCUCGCCGGAAGACCAAGGGUUCCUGUCCAACGUUAAUCGGGGCAGGGUGAGUCGACCCCUAAGGCGAGGCCGAAAGGCGUAGUCGAUGGGAAACAGGUUAAUAUUCCUGUACUUGGUGUUACUGCGAAGGGGGGACGGAGAAGGCUAUGUUGGCCGGGCGACGGUUGUCCCGGUUUAAGCGUGUAGGCUGGUUUUCCAGGCAAAUCCGGAAAAUCAAGGCUGAGGCGUGAUGACGAGGCACUACGGUGCUGAAGCAACAAAUGCCCUGCUUCCAGGAAAAGCCUCUAAGCAUCAGGUAACAUCAAAUCGUACCCCAAACCGACACAGGUGGUCAGGUAGAGAAUACCAAGGCGCUUGAGAGAACUCGGGUGAAGGAACUAGGCAAAAUGGUGCCGUAACUUCGGGAGAAGGCACGCUGAUAUGUAGGUGAAGCGCCUUGCUCGUGGAGCUGAAAUCAGUCGAAGAUACCAGCUGGCUGCAACUGUUUAUUAAAAACACAGCACUGUGCAAACACGAAAGUGGACGUAUACGGUGUGACGCCUGCCCGGUGCCGGAAGGUUAAUUGAUGGGGUUAGCGGUAACGCGAAGCUCUUGAUCGAAGCCCCGGUAAACGGCGGCCGUAACUAUAACGGUCCUAAGGUAGCGAAAUUCCUUGUCGGGUAAGUUCCGACCUGCACGAAUGGCGUAAUGAUGGCCAGGCUGUCUCCACCCGAGACUCAGUGAAAUUGAACUCGCUGUGAAGAUGCAGUGUACCCGCGGCAAGACGGAAAGACCCCGUGAACCUUUACUAUAGCUUGACACUGAACAUUGAGCCUUGAUGUGUAGGAUAGGUGGGAGGCUUUGAAGUGUGGACGCCAGUCUGCAUGGAGCCGACCUUGAAAUACCACCCUUUAAUGUUUGAUGUUCUAACGUUGGCCCCUAAUCGGGGUUGCGGACAGUGUCUGGUGGGUAGUUUGACUGGGGCGGUCUCCUCCUAAAGAGUAACGGAGGAGCACGAAGGUUGGCUAAUCCUGGUCGGACAUCAGGAGGUUAGUGCAAUGGCAUAAGCCAGCUUGACUGCGAGCGUGACGGCGCGAGCAGGUGCGAAAGCAGGUCAUAGUGAUCCGGUGGUUCUGAAUGGAAGGGCCAUCGCUCAACGGAUAAAAGGUACUCCGGGGAUAACAGGCUGAUACCGCCCAAGAGUUCAUAUCGACGGCGGUGUUUGGCACCUCGAUGUCGGCUCAUCACAUCCUGGGGCUGAAGUAGGUCCCAAGGGUAUGGCUGUUCGCCAUUUAAAGUGGUACGCGAGCUGGGUUUAGAACGUCGUGAGACAGUUCGGUCCCUAUCUGCCGUGGGCGCUGGAGAACUGAGGGGGGCUGCUCCUAGUACGAGAGGACCGGAGUGGACGCAUCACUGGUGUUCGGGUUGUCAUGCCAAUGGCACUGCCCGGUAGCUAAAUGCGGAAGAGAUAAGUGCUGAAAGCAUCUAAGCACGAAACUUGCCCCGAGAUGAGUUCUCCCUGACUCCCUGAGAGUCCUGAAGGAACGUUGAAGACGACGACGUUGAUAGGCCGGGUGUGUAAGCGCAGCGAUGCGUUGAGCUAACCGGUACUAAUGAACCGUGAGGCUUAACCUU
Molecule: ribosomal RNA, 2903 nt
Filed under: Escherichia coli KTE26
Lineage: Bacteria; Pseudomonadati; Pseudomonadota; Gammaproteobacteria; Enterobacterales; Enterobacteriaceae
Description: bacterial LSU rRNA
Rfam family: Bacterial large subunit ribosomal RNA
Source: RNAcentral